AGAAUUAUAGUUUAAAAAACAUUUGAUUUGCAAUCAAAAAUUAUUAUAUUUAAUUUAUCUUA
This 62-nucleotide transfer RNA is filed under the name Pseudoneureclipsis achim. RNAcentral describes it as "tRNA-Ala". The record is from RNAcentral. Lineage: Eukaryota; Metazoa; Arthropoda; Insecta; Trichoptera; Polycentropodidae.